UGUUAUAACCCUUGUCCAGCUGAAAAAUAUUGGACUUCAAUGUGUUCAAUCGGUUCUUCCUCAAGUAUAUACUUUGGAUCAUCAAUGUUGUUCCAGGGAAUAAAGCUGUUGCUGUGGAUAUCAGCUCUCAGAAGUAUGUUCUCAGAUGUAGUGGGUGAAGUUCUUGUUGUUAUGUUGUGUUGAGGGUUUUAGGUACCUGAAGUGUAUUCCAGAUCUGAGUACUGAUGGGAUGGAUAUAGUAGGAUGCUCGGACCCUCAUGUACUCAGACUUCAAUACUCCUUCCAGGUGUUUCAAUUGCUAAUAUCUCACAUGACCCUCCCUUUUUUAUGCUCUGAGUAUCUCACAUGGAGUCCUUUUUUAUGGCUGACCAAGAUUAGGCUAGGAAAUUUCUUUCCUAUUUUUGUUUGUUUUCCGGUUGUAAAUAUUUGCAUGUGCCUAAUGUAAUAUGGAAACUGUAGCCUAUUCAGCCUGUAUAAUCUCUUAUUGCUCUGACUCAUAUGUAUGGACUCUGUAGCUUAUCACUGUUCAGUAUUUUCUUGCCAUUUACUUCCAACUGCUGAAAAUGUGAAAUUGUGAAGUCCCCUUUGUCU
This is a long non-coding RNA of Capsicum annuum, 591 nucleotides long. RefSeq lists it as uncharacterized. The record is from RefSeq and is a predicted model, not a curated record. Lineage: Eukaryota; Viridiplantae; Streptophyta; Magnoliopsida; Solanales; Solanaceae. The transcript has 3 exons.